RNAcentral lists this transfer RNA (63 nucleotides) under Elaphe quatuorlineata (Four-lined ratsnake). RNAcentral describes it as "tRNA-Arg". RNAcentral also lists the same sequence under 2 other names. The record is from RNAcentral. Lineage: Eukaryota; Metazoa; Chordata; Lepidosauria; Squamata; Colubridae.
GCUGUGGUAGUCUAUUAGACAUUUGAUUUCGACUCAAAAGAACUUAUUCGAUAAGCCACAACA